Molecule: ribosomal RNA, 235 nt
Filed under: uncultured Candidatus Saccharibacteria bacterium
Lineage: Bacteria; Candidatus Saccharimonadota
Description: partial 16S ribosomal RNA
Rfam family: Bacterial small subunit ribosomal RNA
Source: RNAcentral
UAAGUCGGUAGUGAAAGCGUGUGGCUCAACCACAUAUACAUUAUCGAAACUGCAAAGCUAGAGGACAAGAGAGGUCACUGGAAUUCCCUGUGUAGGAGUGAAAUCCAUAGAUAUAGGGAGGAACACCGAUGGCGUAGGCAGGUGACUGGCUUGUUCCUGACGCUCAGGCACGAAAGCGUGGGUAGCAAACGGGAUUAGAUACCCCGGUAGUCCACGCCGUAAACGAUGGAUGCUA